Saccostrea cuccullata (small rock oyster) is the source of this 361-nucleotide long non-coding RNA. RefSeq lists it as uncharacterized. The record is from RefSeq and is a predicted model, not a curated record. The transcript has 3 exons. NCBI's taxonomy places the organism in Eukaryota, Metazoa, Mollusca, Bivalvia, Ostreida, Ostreidae.
CAUGUUUGAUAUGGAAACUGAAACACCGUCGUAAGGCCAGUGAAAAGGAAACUGGAAGAAUUAAGAUGGAUGUAAUGACGAGUCAAAAUUCAGAAAAGAAAGCUUUAUUACAGGAGAACGAAAAUGAGGACCAGGCUGAAGGAGGUACAACUCUAAUAGAAGAUAUUCUGAGAAGUUGGCAAGAGGACAAGAACUUUGUUCCGACAACGGCAAGCAAUUUGUAGAAGAAAAGAUUAAAAGUCAAAACCUGGUCACGGUUGUCGGUAAUUCUGGAUGCGGAAAAACGGCAAUGAUCCAACACAUUGCACUCAAGUUAAAAGAAGAACAGGGAUGGGAUAUUAAACAUGUCGAUGAGGUGAAA